ACCAAACCGAUGCAAACUCCGAAUACCUAUGAGUACUAUCCGGGAGACAGACUGCGGGUGCUAACGUCCGUAGUCAAGAGGAAAACAAUCCAGACCGCCAGCUAAGGCCCCAAAAUCAUAGUUAAGUGGGAAACGAUGUGGGAAGGCAUAGACAGCUAGGAGGUUGGCUUAGAAGCAGCCACCCUUUAAAGAAAGCGUAAUAGCUCACUAGUCGAGUCGGCCUGCGCGGAAGAUGUAACGGGGCUAAAACUAUGUGCCGAAGCUGCGGAUGUAUACUUUGUAUACGUGGUAGGGGAGCGUUCUGUAAGCCGAUGAAGGUGUGUUGAGAAGCAUGCUGGAGGUAUCAGAAGUGCGAAUGCUGACGUGAGUAACGACAAAACGGGUGAAAAACCCGUUCGCCGAAAGACCAAGGGUUCCAGUCCAACGUUAAUCGGGGCUGGGUGAGUCGACCCCUAAGGCGAGGCCGAAAGGCGUAGUCGAUGGGAAAAUGGUUAAUAUUCCAUUACUUCUGUGUAAUGCGAUGAGAGGACGGAGAAGGCUAAAUCAGCCUGGCGUUGGUUGUCCAGGUGAAAGGAUGUAGGCAUGUAUCUUAGGCAAAUCCGGGGUACUCUAUGCUGAGAUCUGAUAGCAAGCUGUACUUGUACAGCGAAGUGGUUGAUGCCAUGCUUCCAGGAAAAGUCUCUAAGCUUCAGUUACACAGGAAUCGUACCCGAAACCGACACAGGUGGUCAGGUCGAGUAGACCAAGGCGCUUGAGAGAACUCUGCUGAAGGAACUAGGCAAAAUGGUACCGUAACUUCGGGAGAAGGUACGCUGUUGUUGGUGAUGGAACUCGCUUCCUGAGCUGACGACAGCCGCAGAAACCAGGCCGCUGCAACUGUUUAUUAAAAACAUAGCACUCUGCAAACACGAAAGUGGACGUAUAGGGUGUGAUGCCUGCCCGGUGCUGGAAGGUUAAUUGAUGGGGUUAGCGUAAGCGAAGCUCUUGAUCGAAGCCCCAGUAAACGGCGGCCGUAACUAUAACGGUCCUAAGGUAGCGAAAUUCCUUGUCGGGUAAGUUCCGACCUGCACGAAUGGCAUAAUGAUGGCGGCGCUGUCUCCAGCAGAGGCUCAGUGAAAUCGAAAUCGCUGUGAAGAUGCAGUGUACCCGCGGCUAGACGGAAAGACCCCGUGAACCUUUACUGCAGCUUGACACUGAACUUUGACCUUACUUGUGUAGGAUAGGUGGGAGGCUUUGAAGCUGGAACGCUAGUUCCAGUGGAGCCGUCCUUGAAAUACCACCCUGGUAAUGUUGAGGUUCUAACUCUGUCCCGUGAUCCGGGACGAGGACCGUGUCUGGUGGGUAGUUUGACUGGGGCGGUCUCCUCCUAAAGAGUAACGGAGGAGUACGAAGGUGCGCUCAGCGUGGUCGGAAAUCACGCGUAGAGUAUAAAGGCAAAAGCGCGCUUAACUGCGAGACCCACAAGUCGAGCAGGUACGAAAGUAGGUCUUAGUGAUCCGGUGGUUCUGUAUGGAAGGGCCAUCGCUCAACGGAUAAAAGGUACUCUGGGGAUAACAGGCUGAUACCGCCCAAGAGUUCAUAUCGACGGCGGUGUUUGGCACCUCGAUGUCGGCUCAUCUCAUCCUGGGGCUGAAGCAGGUCCCAAGGGUAUGGCUGUUCGCCAUUUAAAGAGGUACGCGAGCUGGGUUUAGAACGUCGUGAGACAGUUCGGUCCCUAUCUACCGUGGGCGCUGGAAAUUUGAGAGGAUCUGCUCCUAGUACGAGAGGACCAGAGUGGACGAACCUCUGGUGUACCGGUUGUGACGCCAGUCGCAUCGCCGGGUAGCUAUGUUCGGAAGGGAUAACCGCUGAAAGCAUCUAAGCGGGAAGCCUACCUCAAGAUAAGAUUUCCCUAGGACUUUAUGUCCUCUAAAGAGCCGUUCGAGACUAGGACGUUGAUAGGUUGGAUGUGGAAGCAUAGUGAUAUGUGAAGCUGACCAAUACUAAUUGCUCGUGAGGCUUGACUAU
RNAcentral lists this ribosomal RNA (2007 nucleotides) under Acinetobacter baumannii 3390. RNAcentral's name for it is "bacterial LSU rRNA". It matches the Rfam family "Bacterial large subunit ribosomal RNA", at positions 938 to 2925 of the family's 2925-position model. The record is from RNAcentral. Lineage: Bacteria; Pseudomonadati; Pseudomonadota; Gammaproteobacteria; Moraxellales; Moraxellaceae.